RNAcentral lists this long non-coding RNA (613 nucleotides) under Medicago truncatula (barrel medic). RNAcentral describes it as "long non-coding RNA (MTRU_LNC005641)". The record is from RNAcentral. Lineage: Eukaryota; Viridiplantae; Streptophyta; Magnoliopsida; Fabales; Fabaceae.
AACAGUCACCGUGUCUUUCCCAUUCAAAAUUACUUAUGCUGAAAAAAUCAUUGCUUUCGCCUCUCACCUUAUAAUGGCUUAUAAUUGACUCUUCUAAUUUCUUUAACAAUUUCUUUGCUUUUCUUCUGCAAGGAGUAAAUUUCCAGGAAAAAUUAGAAAAUAAAGAAUUCAAAAUUCUAUCUCUUUCCAAAUUCACCAAAGAAAUCCAUGAACAUCUAACAACCUGGCUUUAGAUCCGCACAAUCACCGUCUUUUUCCUCUCGCCGUCACCAUCGAUACGCUGGCCACCGUGACUACCUCCCUCGUCACUGUACCGCUACGAAAACCCAACACAAUCAUCACUUUCUCAACCCCACUUCUAAACGAAGGCUGCAACAACAACCAACAACAAUAAACGAAGAAGAAGAACCCACAACAACAACAAAUCUAUGUCAAUAAAAUCUGAUGUUAUUCUUUGUACUAAAUUGAUCAAGUUUUUUUUUUUUUUAAUUUGAUUAAGGGGUUAUUCUUUGUACUAAAUGAAAUAUGAUGUUAUUCUUUCUACGCCAAUAACAAAUCUACCUUUGCCGUUUUCAAAUAGCUCUUAGCCAAAGCUACCUCACAUAUACACAUA